Long non-coding RNA from Pyrus x bretschneideri (Chinese white pear), 2441 nucleotides. RefSeq lists it as uncharacterized. The record is from RefSeq and is a predicted model, not a curated record. NCBI's taxonomy places the organism in Eukaryota, Viridiplantae, Streptophyta, Magnoliopsida, Rosales, Rosaceae. The transcript is spliced from 3 exons.
ACAAUAUAAACAGUUUUUUUUUCAAAGCACAACAAUAUCAAACAAACCUUUAAACGGAUGUCGACACGAUGACAAAAAGCAUUUAUCACCACCUCUCUAUGUGGUCUCUGUUUCACGAGCAUAUGUGCCUGCUAGAUUGCUACCAUACUUUUUCAUGGGAAUCUUUCUAUAGCCUUAGUGGAAUUGAGAAUCAUUUGAAAUUUGGAAUUUUGGAUUACCAUCCAUGUUGUUUCAAGCUUCAAACAACAUGUAGACGUUUGUUUGCUUCAUGGGGUGCAGCAUGGAGCACUAAUGGUAGUGGAUUCCACAGAGCAGGCAGAGGAAAGAACAACUGGUGACCAAAAGACACUACGUAGGCUGGCCCAGAACAGAGAAGCAGCAAGGAAGAGUCGCCUAAGGAAGAAAGUAUAUAUCUUUACUUUCCAUCAGCACGUAUUUGAAUGUCUUUUUUCUAUUUAAUUUCAUCGAGAGCUUCCCUAUACCUUUUUAGUUCGUGACAUCUUAGACUAAUUAUAUAAUGUUACGUGAGAGUGUUAAAACAUAUGGGAUCACGUUAUUUAUUUGGCGUAACACACUGGCAUACCAGGGUGUAGGUCUGUAACCCAGCGUCUAAAUCUUUUAGCUAUGUUGAGACAAAGUCUCGGUAUCAACCCUGAAGAUUCACUGCCAGGUCUAUAAAAAUUAAGUUUGUCUUAAAUGCUUCUCAGCCUUCUCACUCUCUUAAUAGCAAAGGCCUAUUUUUUUAGCCUCCCUCGCCUUUUUCACUUCUCUUUUGGUUUAAUUUUGUGGAUUUUUGGCGUCUGAUUUUGGUUUUUGAUGUGAUUGACUUCUUUGGUGUUUAUUUUUGUAAGUUUUCUCAGUGGUAUAGUGACUGCCAGAAUUAUUGGGUUUUCGUUUAUUUGAAUAAUUUUUAAGUCGCCGGGUCUGUAUGAUUUUUGGUGAGUUUUGUGAUUUUUUUACUGGCUUUAGUUCCUUUUUUGGUUUGUUCUGUAUAUUUACAUGGGUUUUGUCUGUUCAUUUCUUUUUUUCUGGAUAUCGUUUAGAUUGAUUCUAUGAAUGUGUCGUUGAGUUUUGCUUUUUAUUUCAGGAGGUGCAGCUUUUCGUUUUAUUUUGGCCUUUUUUAUCUGAUGUUGUAACAUUUUUGUAAUAGAGAUGAGUAAUUUACAUUUUUUUUUCAAGUUGUUCUCUAACGAAGUAAUAAUUUUGUAUGAAUAUUGUGAGACUUCACUUUUAUAUAAUCUGAUGCAUAAAUGUGUUUGAUGUUAUUUUAUGAAUAUUUUAAAUGGGUUAAGAUGCAUAUCGUUGUUUAAAGGGUAUAAAAAGUAGUUAGCUGCUGUUUUAUGUAUUUUUGGGGAUUUUAUCAAAUUUGAAAAAGAUGGAGACGAAAUUGAUUUCGAACAAAUUAAAGAAUGCAAAAUUUUGGUUAUUUGGUUAUUGUUAUUAAUUGGUAAUGAGCUAUUCAACAUUUUUAUUUUAAUUGUGAGAACAACUUCCGAAUGACUUCCUCCUCCUAUGUGUCUUCAAAAGUUGUUUUAGUGUACUAUACAAAGGUUUUGACCUGUAUGUCACCGAAGCCAAUACCUGAAGGGGGCAAAUUUCUUGGGCCGAACCUGUUUAAGUUGACUUUGAUGUGCUGGAAGAAAUGGAGGAAUUUUACUGGCGCUUGAAUUGUUAAGUUGACUUGGCUUAGCAGGAUUUGGGCAAUCUCAGAAUUGUCAAACAAAACCUUUGAUUUCCUGGAUAGUUUUUGACUUGAUAUUAAUCUAAUUACAUGUGAAGGGACAGGUCAUAGCUCUAACAAUUAGAGAGAUAUAGUGACUCUUGCUGCCUUCUUAAUUCUUGUUCUCCUAUUGUAUACAAUGCAGUUGAUCUUUUGUGUUAUUUGAUACUUUUUUUAGUGGUUCUUGAUAGCUUGAGUGAUGCUUAUUGAAAAAAAAAGGGUUUCAAAAUACUAUGCUUUCACGUUUCGGCAUCUUUCCGUUUCUGUUUCAAGGAUUUUUGCACUAAGAGUGAGUGAUUCUAAAAUUAGGGAAUUGUUAACAUCAGUCUCUGAAAAAACAAAAAUGUGAUCAAUUCUUUUGACAAAUGCAGGUGUUUGAAAAAUUCAACUGUGCAAGUUGUGAAAAAAAAAAAGGGAUUUCGAAAUACUGUGCUUUCACGUUUCUACAUCUUUUUGUUUCUGUUUCAAGGAUUUCUGCAUAAAGGUGAGUGAUCUAAAAUUAGGGAAUUGUUAACAUCACAUUUUAAGCAUUUGUUUUCGUUCUGUUUUUAAGUUUGAAUAAACUUUGGUAUUCUUUUAGCUUUUAUCGUGUUUAAAUUGAAGUCCUAAUUUCAGUGGAUUGUUCAUGAUUAGUGCGUUAUGUUGUUUUACUAUGUGUUUUAUGUGUUUGUUAAUUUAUCGGAGUCUUCACAAGAAAUGUUGUGUACAAAGAUAUUUUGCU